This 446-nucleotide ribosomal RNA is filed under the name uncultured bacterium. Its description in RNAcentral is "SSU rRNA". It matches the Rfam family "Bacterial small subunit ribosomal RNA", at positions 26 to 518 of the family's 1533-position model. The record is from RNAcentral.
AGAACGAACGCUGGCGGCAUGCCUAACACAUGCAAGUCGAACGAGACCUUCGGGUCUAGUGGCGCACGGGUGCGUAACGCGUGGGAAUCUGCCCUUAGGUUCGGAAUAACUCAGAGAAAUUUGAGCUAAUACCGGAUGAUGACGUAAGUCCAAAGAUUUAUCGCCUAGGGAUGAGCCCGCGUAAGAUUAGGUAGUUGGUGGGGUAAAGGCCUACCAAGCCGACGAUCUUUAGCUGGUCUGAGAGGAUGAUCAGCCACACUGGGACUGAGACACGGCCCAGACUCCUACGGGAGGCAGCAGCGGGGAAUAUUGGACAAUGGGCGAAAGCCUGAUCCAGCAAUGCCGCGUGAGUGAUGAAGGCCUUAGGGUUGUAAAGCUCUUUUACCCGGGAUGAUAAUGACAGUACCGGGAGAAUAAGCCCCGGCUAACUCCGUGCCAGCAGCCGC